This 460-nucleotide ribosomal RNA is filed under the name uncultured bacterium. RNAcentral's name for it is "partial 16S ribosomal RNA". It matches the Rfam family "Bacterial small subunit ribosomal RNA", at positions 338 to 795 of the family's 1533-position model. The record is from RNAcentral.
CCUACGGGAGACAGCAGUGAGGAAUAUUGGUCAAUGGGCGAGAGCCUGAACCAGCCAAGUCGCGUGAAGGAUGACGGCCCUACGGGUUGUAAACUUCUUUUGUCAGGGAGCAAUUGAGUCCACGUGUGGGCUUAGCGAUAGUACCUGAAGAAAAAGCAUGGGCUAACUCCGUGCCAGCAGCCGCGGUAAGGAGGAGGAUGCGAGCGUUAUCCGGCUGUAUUGGGUUAAAGGGGUGCGUAGGCGGAAUAUACAGUCAGCGGUAACAAUUCGGGUCUAAACCCCGUCGUGCCGUUGAAACUGGUGUUCUUGAGUGGGCGAGAGGUAUGCGGAAGGCGUGGUGUAGCGGUGAAAUGCAUAGAGAUCCCGCAGAACUCCGAUUGCGAAGGCAGCAUACCGGCGCCAAACUGACGCUGAAGCACGAAAGCGUGGGUAUCGAACAGGAUUAGAUACCCCUGUAGUC